UUCUUGUUUGCAUUUUAUACAGAAAUGCCUGAAUCUCUGACUGCUGCACAGUAAUCCAGCUGACUGCUGUUUGGAUAGUAAGAGGCUGGUUCUGCAUUGCCUGUCAGAUUGUUCAUGUUGAGGAGAGCCUCAACAACACUUCUGUAGCCAAGUCGGUUCAACAUUUCUGUCUGAAAAGAGAAGCAGUGCUCCAUCCUGACAGUGCCACAUGUGCUUCAGAACCUGACUGGAAAAUGAACCCAACCUGGGAGAGAAGAUGUGAGACAAUCAGCUAACAACACAAAGGACUGAACAACUGCAUAUACUGUCAGUAUUUACCAUACAUUUAAAAUGACCAAAAUAUGACAAAAAUAUGAAACUUAUAAAAAUAAUUAUAACUUUUCUUAAUCAGCUGUCUUUCCACAGUUGUACACCCUGCUUCUAUGCACAAGAGUGAUAAUUCUUUGUAAAAUUCACCACUAGAGGUGGUGAAAUUCACCACUAAAGGAAACUUUAUACAGAACUAUCAUCAUUGUUAAAUCCUGAAUCCAUGUUUAUUUAAUAUCCUGGUUUGUAUGUGCACAUGUAUUAGUUUGUGAAGAACUAUGUGUUUUCCCUCCCUCAUCCAUUCAGACUGAGAACAUUAUUGAGGUAAACAAAAAGCAACAAUCAAACAACAACAACAAAAACAUAUUUCAGGUACUUCAGAAUGUAGUAAUUACACUUUAUUUCACUUUUGGAUUUUAACAUUUUUGGAUUUCAAUUCAAAAGAAAAAUCAGUGUCAAGAUGAAGGCUUGACAUAAGCUUUCUAAGAAGUGAUUCUUUGCAACAACAGCAGUGAAUGAACACUAUUCUAAGUCAGAAAAAAAGAAUAAAGUGAGGAUCAUACCAAAGAAGUAUUCCAAUAGGAAUUAUGUAAAAUCGUAUAAAACCAUUUUCUUUUAUUCAAACAAAUAGCUCAUUCAGGUGUGAUGAAAGUGUGCUCUUAAAAAAUAAGGCUGAAGGUAAAUUGUGAGGUAGGAAAAUGUUGAGUUUAGUUAGCUCAACAUUUACUUUGUAGGCUGAAGACUUUAAAAGUCAACAGAUUUCUUGCUUCUCUCUGGAGAGAUUUAGAUUUCCCUAGUUCUCUCCAUCCUUCAAAUUCUACUUUGAAGCAGAUGUAUACUUUUUAUUUUGGCUGCCAGCCAUAGUAAAACUUGAAAUAGAUAUCUAACUUAUGUGAUUCUUUCAAUGAAUCUGUUUCUUUUAUUAUUAGUAAACAUUCCACAUUAACCCAGGCUUUAGGUGUAGGAAGUGGGAAAUAAAUUUUGUAUAGGAGAUUACUGGGUUUUGUCCUUUGAUGGUAAAGAACAAUUUUCAGACUGGAAAGCAAGGUAGGCUUGUGCCUUUGAGCUAAUGGGGAUAGAGCUUUACCAAAAUAUUUUUCUCACUUUUAAUCUCAUUAAUCAUGCUUUAAAUCUUAUCUGUGCUCCAUCAUAAGUGGGCUGAAUGUUCUGCCAUUAGCACACUUUCUACUGACUUCUAAGCAGUCAGUUGUACAAGUCCACAUCAAUCAUGCUGUCUGCUAAUAGUGGUAGUCUUGCUAACUCUGUUUUCUGGGUUGUAACUAGAGAGGAAUUCAGUAGAAACAACAAGGAACAAGGUGAACUGAUUUGUUACUUUUUCUUUUAGAUAGGUUUUUGUUUGCUUAUAUAAGAAGGCCUUGUUAAAAAGAGAAAAUGUUUGGACAUUGCUCUAUACUGUAAACAGUCAAUCACUUGCCACGUGAUCUUAUGGGAAAGUACCUCCUUGAACACUGAGAGCUUUCUUUUAGUUGCUAAAAGUCGUAACAGAAAUGCAGGUAGGAUUAUAUAUAUAUAUAGCCUCACAUCGGUUCAGAAACCAUACCCACAAACCAUGCCUCACAACUAAUUGAAAAGGAGAAGGAUCUGGGAACAUUAUUUUAUGGGAGUGGAGAGAAGCUGAGGAGGAUGACGGACAAAUAUCAUUAUGGGGUGAAAUCUCAAAGGAAAGGAACCACCAGCAAUAGCUGUCUAAGAUCUUUCCUCAAGUCCUGUGCAAAUGGUGAUAAAUGGAUUAACAUUUAAUGUCCAGUGAAAUUUAAUUAAUUAUAGUCUCUUUCAUAGCUGAGUGAUUAUAAAACAUUUUGUCAGUUGUUUGUUCCGCCAUUAGAUCUCACCUUAAAACACCAUGUACAUAGAUAAAAUAAUUCUAAGAGCUUCAUUUUACUCUUCUGCCCUGUAAGUAGAAAUGGUGUCACACUACAAAGCAGAUGACCCCUGUACAAUUGCAAUUGUAAUGGCCUUCAAAAAAUUGCCUGAAUUACUGAAACCUUUGCCAGAGCUUUUCAGGAGAAUGUGAUGAGAAUAAAAUAAACGAAAAACUGAUUAGAUGUUUGCAAA
Non-coding RNA from Coturnix japonica (Japanese quail), 2382 nucleotides. The record is from RefSeq and is a predicted model, not a curated record. NCBI's taxonomy places the organism in Eukaryota, Metazoa, Chordata, Aves, Galliformes, Phasianidae.